CAGAAACGUUUCUAACAAAUCACUGUAAAGUAUGAGGUUUUCUGAGAGUUUUCGAGUUUCACCCUGAUUUUCAUGGUUGUAACAUCAGAAAAUAUCACUUCUGGGGGAAAAAAGUGCCUGAUACAUUAGCUCAACCUCUAAGAGAUGACUUUCCUAGACUCCAGCGGAAUGAGAAUGAACCUCAAGAAUCUGAG
This is a long non-coding RNA of Diceros bicornis minor, 194 nucleotides long. RefSeq lists it as uncharacterized. The record is from RefSeq and is a predicted model, not a curated record. The transcript has 3 exons. Lineage: Eukaryota; Metazoa; Chordata; Mammalia; Perissodactyla; Rhinocerotidae.